AGGCCACAUAUUAAUGUACAAGUCAGGGACCAAAUCCUCCUCCCUUCAGUUGCAAACAUCACCCCCGCCUGCCCCCAAGAAGGCCUGGCCCUGCAUAGGCAUAUGUGACAGCUGGCAAUAAAUCCAGAAGGUCUGAUGCCCAAGUUCCCUGUUUGGCCUGCUCAAUCACUUCUUUCUUUAGGGCCUGAUCCAUAGCUCAUUGAAAUUAAUGGACUCUCAUUUCAGUGGACGCAGGACUGAGCACUUAGGUAGUGAAAAGUCUUGGAGUCCUUCCAAAAGGUUCAGCCAGAACUGGACAACAUAACUGAAGGCAUUUCUGUAAUAGCCAUGGUAAGCUGCCAUCCACAAGAAGACUUCCUGUAUCUACUGAGAGAGAACAGGAAGUAACGUUACACCUCCAUGGCGAGCUCAUUAUGAAUAAUUUCUGUGGAAGGCCCUGGCAUUACAUUUCAGGCCGAUUGUCCCUGUAGCACAACCAGCACCUAUCCUGAGUGUUAUUUUCCCCCUGAAGGUAUUCAUGGGUUAUAACUGUAUUUCAUUUUACCAAUCCAGGCUUGGAACUAUGCUUAGGAUGAAAUAUUGUUUCUAAAAUGGGAGGGGGAGUUACAGCUGAACAUGUUGCCAUUUAUAUAAUAAUCCAAAUUCACCUAAUGUUUUAAAGCAAAUCUGACAAUGAAUGUGCUUUGCAUCCACAAAAAUAUACCAACUUACUGCAUAUCUCCGUAGAUGCCGAGCACAGUAUAAUGUAUGAAAUACAGUUCUGCUGUGAAAAUGA
Gavialis gangeticus (Gharial) is the source of this 775-nucleotide long non-coding RNA. RefSeq lists it as uncharacterized. NCBI's taxonomy places the organism in Eukaryota, Metazoa, Chordata, Crocodylia, Gavialidae. The record is from RefSeq and is a predicted model, not a curated record. The transcript has 2 exons.